GAGCCAUGCAGCUGCGGACCAAAUGUAGGGUAAUAACUAGCAGUUGGCCAUUACGGGGUUAACUGCUGGUGUUCUGGUGAGUGUAAAAAAAUGUGGAGGUCCCGCUCAAAAACACAGCCAAAAUGUGAAUAGUUCCAUUGGGUCGGAGUUAAAAUGCUUCUGCUUCCUUUUCAACUGCUGAUUAUUUUCAGGAUACCAAUCUUGUGGGAGUGUCUAACACAUGUAUUAUUAUAAUUGUAAUUUUUUUGAUAACUAUGUCAUAGUUUUCCAACAUGCUUUUAAUUGAAACAAGGGAUCAUU
This 300-nucleotide long non-coding RNA is filed under the name Bos taurus (domestic cattle). RNAcentral describes it as "long non-coding RNA NONBTAT019333". The record is from RNAcentral. Lineage: Eukaryota; Metazoa; Chordata; Mammalia; Artiodactyla; Bovidae.